GUUUGAUCCUGGCUCAGAUUGAACGCUGGCGGCAGGCUUAACACAUGCAAGUCGAGCGGGGGAAGGUAGCUUGCUACUGGACCUAGCGGCGGACGGGUGAGUAAUGCUUGGGAAUCUGCCUAUUAGUGGGGGACAACAUCUCGAAAGGGAUGCUAAUACCGCAUACGUCCUACGGGAGAAAGCAGGGGAUCUUCGGACCUUGCGCUAAUAGAUGAGCCUAAGUCGGAUUAGCUAGUUGGUGGGGUAAAGGCCUACCAAGGCGACGAUCUGUAGCGGGUCUGAGAGGAUGAUCCGCCACACUGGGACUGAGACACGGCCCAGACUCCUACGGGAGGCAGCAGUGGGGAAUAUUGGACAAUGGGCGCAAGCCUGAUCCAGCCAUGCCGCGUGUGUGAAGAAGGCCUUAUGGUUGUAAAGCACUUUAAGCGAGGAGGAGGCUACUUUAGAUAAUACCUAGAGAUAGUGGACGUUACUCGCAGAAUAAGCACCGGCUAACUCUGUGCCAGCAGCCGCGGUAAUACAGAGGGUGCAAGCGUUAAUCGGAUUUACUGGGCGUAAAGCGCGCGUAGGCGGCUAAUUAAGUCAAAUGUGAAAUCCCCGAGCUUAACUUGGGAAUUGCAUUCGAUACUGGUUAGCUAGAGUGUGGGAGAGGAUGGUAGAAUUCCAGGUGUAGCGGUGAAAUGCGUAGAGAUCUGGAGGAAUACCGAUGGCGAAGGCAGCCAUCUGGCCUAACACUGACGCUGAGGUGCGAAAGCAUGGGGAGCAAACAGGAUUAGAUACCCUGGUAGUCCAUGCCGUAAACGAUGUCUACUAGCCGUUGGGGCCUUUGAGGCUUUAGUGGCGCAGCUAACGCGAUAAGUAGACCGCCUGGGGAGUACGGUCGCAAGACUAAAACUCAAAUGAAUUGACGGGGGCCCGCACAAGCGGUGGAGCAUGUGGUUUAAUUCGAUGCAACGCGAAGAACCUUACCUGGCCUUGACAUAGUAAAAACUUUCCAGAGAUGGAUUGGUGCCUUCGGGAACUUACAUACAGGUGCUGCAUGGCUGUCGUCAGCUCGUGUCGUGAGAUGUUGGGUUAAGUCCCGCAACGAGCGCAACCCUUUUCCUUAUUUGCCAGCGAGUAAUGUCGGGAACUUUAAGGAUACUGCCAGUGACAAACUGGAGGAAGGCGGGGACGACGUCAAGUCAUCAUGGCCCUUACGGCCAGGGCUACACACGUGCUACAAUGGUCGGUACAAAGGGUUGCUACACAGCGAUGUGAUGCUAAUCUCAAAAAGCCGAUCGUAGUCCGGAUUGGAGUCUGCAACUCGACUCCAUGAAGUCGGAAUCGCUAGUAAUCGCGGAUCAGAAUGCCGCGGUGAAUACGUUCCCGGGCCUUGUACACACCGCCCGUCACACCAUGGGAGUUUGUUGCACCAGAAGUAGCUAGCCUAACUGCAAAGAGGGCGGUUACCACGGUGUGGCCGAUGACUGGGGUGAAGUCGUAACAAGGUAACC
Molecule: ribosomal RNA, 1496 nt
Filed under: uncultured bacterium
Lineage: Bacteria
Description: 16S ribosomal RNA
Rfam family: Bacterial small subunit ribosomal RNA
Source: RNAcentral